This 253-nucleotide ribosomal RNA is filed under the name uncultured bacterium. RNAcentral describes it as "partial 16S ribosomal RNA". It matches the Rfam family "Bacterial small subunit ribosomal RNA", at positions 524 to 776 of the family's 1533-position model. The record is from RNAcentral.
GACGAACCGUGCGAACGUUGUUCGGAUUCACUGGGCUUAAAGGGCGCGUAGGCGGGCGGUCAAGUCGGGGGUGAAAUCUUUCAGCUUAACUGGAAAAGUGCCUCCGAUACUGAUCGCCUCGAGGGAGGUAGGGGCAUGUGGAACUUCCGGUGGAGCGGUGAAAUGCGUAGAUAUCGGAAGGAACGCCGGUGGCGAAAGCGACGUGCUGGACCUCUGCUGACGCUGAGGCGCGAAAGCUAGGGGAGCAAACGGG